Trematomus bernacchii (emerald rockcod) is the source of this 117-nucleotide long non-coding RNA. RefSeq lists it as uncharacterized. Lineage: Eukaryota; Metazoa; Chordata; Actinopteri; Perciformes; Nototheniidae. The transcript has 3 exons. The record is from RefSeq and is a predicted model, not a curated record.
CUGCAAACUGAGACACGCAGCUCUGCAUGAUCACCUGCAGCUCUGCCGCUGUGAGGGGACCGGUGAGCAGAGCACACGCUUCAAGUUAGACCUAACACAUUUAGCAAUCUUAUCUAC